UUACCAUGCAAGUCGCACGAAACCUUUCGGGGUUAGUGGCGGACGGGUGAGUAACGCGUUAGGAACCUAUCUGGAGGUGGGGGAUAACAUCGGGAAACUGGUGCUAAUACCGCAUGAUGCCUGAGGGCCAAAGGAGAGAUCCGCCAUUGGAGGGGCCUGCGUUCGAUUAGCUAGUUGGUUGGGUAAAGGCUGACCAAGGCGAUGAUCGAUAGCUGGUUUGAGAGGAUGAUCAGCCACACUGGGACUGAGACACGGCCCAGACUCCUACGGG
RNAcentral lists this ribosomal RNA (271 nucleotides) under Acetobacteraceae bacterium C02_26. RNAcentral's name for it is "partial 16S ribosomal RNA". It matches the Rfam family "Bacterial small subunit ribosomal RNA", at positions 54 to 345 of the family's 1533-position model. The record is from RNAcentral. RNAcentral also lists the same sequence under 1 other name. Lineage: Bacteria; Pseudomonadati; Pseudomonadota; Alphaproteobacteria; Acetobacterales; Acetobacteraceae.